UACAGAGGUCUCAAGCGUUGUUCGGAUUCACUGGGCGUAAAGGGUGCGUAGGCGGUCGGGUAAGUCUGAUGUGAAAUCUCACAGCUUAACUGUGAAACUGCAUUGGAUACUAUCCGGCUAGAGGAAUGGAGGGGAGACUGGAAUACUUGGUGUAGCAGUGAAAUGCGUAGAUAUCAAGUGGAACACCAGUGGCGAAGGCGAGUCUCUGGACAUUUCCUGACGCUGAGGCACGAAAGCCAGGGGAGCAAACGGG
This 253-nucleotide ribosomal RNA is filed under the name uncultured bacterium. Its description in RNAcentral is "partial 16S ribosomal RNA". It matches the Rfam family "Bacterial small subunit ribosomal RNA", at positions 524 to 776 of the family's 1533-position model. The record is from RNAcentral.